UCACAGAGAGGGAGCAGUGAGAAAGGGUUUCACUGAACUCCUGUUGAAGGGAAUAUUUAAACUUCUUCACAGUAAGCAUCCCUAAACCUACUUUAAACUUCUUCAGGGUAGGCAUCCCUAAAGAGCGUUCCACCAGCAUGUUGUGUGUGUUGCUUGGAUUUCCAGCAUCUGCGGAUUGUCACUUGUUUGUGAUUGGGAUAUUUAAAGAUGCCAUGUAAAUGCGAGAUUACUCUCUUUCAAUUUACAGGUUACUUGUUCAUGCAAACUUUCCAGGGAGGAAACUAUGCAAUAAAAACAAAACGCCAGCAACAUUCAGCAGGCGGGAGAAAGAAAAACAGGAGUUAAUGUUUCAGGUUCAGGGACACGUAUCAGAACUGGGAAAGAGUGAGUGAGAACUAACCUGUUACCUCAAGUUAGUUUUUAUUUCAGAUUUCUAGCAUUUGUGGCCUUUUAUAUACAUAUUCAGAAAACUAUACAACCUUCCGGCUGGGAAGAAGGCCACAGUUACGUAGGUUCCAAAGUUAAAAUCUGUGUAUCUGAAAAACACUUCACCAACAGUUUAAACACAGGAGUGUGUGGUGAUGUUACUGGAAAAUCAAUGUUUCCCUUUGCUAAUCAUUUGGAAGUUAAUUUUUAACUUUUAUGUUAAAACUUACAUCAAAACAUGAAUAUAAAACCCGAAGUAACACUCAGAGGAACAGAUGAACUACAAUGCACAUGAAGGCAGGACUGAGUAUAUGUGGCAUGAUUCAUGUUAAUGGUUUGGUGACACUCUCCUUAAAUAAUUCAGCUCUGAAUGUUCAAUCAUUCUUGGAAAAUGCAGCAAUGUGUUGUUAUAAACUGCUUUUAAUUUAACUCAAAGUGCAAAUCAGUACAUAGAGACAGAAAAUUGCUGCAGCAUUCUUAACAGAAAGAAGCUGUAACAUUGCCACUUUUGAUUAAGGGACAUUUCUCAUGAAAGAGAUUCCAAUAACUUAUCUGCAAACACGCACAAAAUGCUGGGGGAACGCAGCAGGCCAGGCAGCAUCUAUAGGAAGAAGUACAGCCAACGUUUCGGGCUGAGACCCUUCGUCAGGACACGUUUGCGCCAAUAACUUAUCUGCUUUGUUAGAGAAGAAAAAUCUAACAAGAAAGCUGGCUACUUGAGCAGCCAAAAAUGUUAACCUAAGGAGUGAAAUCAGCAUCAGUGACAGAGAUGCACUCUAUUUCAAAAGUGAAUAUUACGAAAGUUUCUAGGGUGAGCAGUCAUAGAAUCAGUGACGGUAUGUCGCCUGGAAUGGAGAGCAUGCCUUAUGAGAAUAUGUUGAGUGAACUUGACCUUUUCUCCUUGGAGCAACAUAGGAUGAGAGGGAAAGAAGUCCAGAGUCCUCAGUCCACCUAAUCUGUACACAACUACAGACCCACCAGAACCUCUUUCUUAAAUGACCAAGGAAGCCACUCAUUUCAGGGACACUUAAGGUUUAAAGGAAAGGGAUACAAAUAUGGAAACAUAAUGGAUACAUAAACUGAAGACUACAAUUUGUGUGAAGGAAGAUUGCCAAUGCCAACCUGUUAGACUUAAACAUCUGCUUUUGUCUUCUAAUUACCAUGCAAAUCCAGGGGCUGAAUUGUCCCUACUCUUAGCUCUUCAUCUUGUCUCCAACUUCCAAGCUUACAUGUUGAAAUGCAAAAUAUCCAUGCAGCCAGCCUUCCACUCCAUCAGAGAUUCAUAUUUGAAUGCAGUAUGAGGCACCAGCUAACAGAACAGAGGGGAUGAAUGUAGUUCACACCCAGCUCCACGGCUUUAUGCCAGCAAUGUACAGUACAGGAAUCUCCAAGCAAGUAGCUCUUUAAUGUUGAGGGCCAGAUCCUCUGAACAGCUGUCUCAACUAAGCUGCCGCAUCAUAAGUCAGCUGCAAUGGCGGGGCAUCACGCAGGUAUGAAGGGUCAGCUUAGCCAGGUUAGGGUGAAUGGACAGACCUUGCAUCUCUGAGCUGGGGCAACAGGGUGGAUCUGAGACAAUCCAUCUGCUUCUUUGUUACAUAUAUUACACAUGAGAUCAUUGGGAUUUCCAGAUGCCAUUGCUGAACUUCUUGGAAUGAGGAAACCAGUGCAUAGAUAAAAUGCUAAGAAUGCUGAAGCUCCUGGUUUUAAUUAAGGUAGUUUUGUUACUGUUCAUUCAGUUUCCUCGCACCCCCUGAAGCACAAACUCCACCAAAGCAAUAGCAUUUACAAGAUCGCCAGCAAAAAUACCAGCAAUAGUUUUGAGCCACACACCCCGAACGAUGGAAGAGCUUAUCAAGUCAGGCAGCAUCUAUGGAAGGGAAGUACACAGUCAAUGUUUCAGGCUGAGACCAUUCUUAACGGAUACUAGAGUCGCGAUGAAGGAUCUCAGCCCAAAACAUUAACUGUUUAAUCCCUUCCAUAGAUGCUGCCUGACUUGCUGCUUACCUCCAGCAUUACUCCCCCUCAACUAAUAGGCUCCUGAACCAGAGGGGAUAACUUCACUCACCCCAACACUGAACUGUUCCCACAACCUAUGGACUCACUUUCAAGGACUCUUCAUCUCAGAUUUUUGAUAUGUAUUGCUUAUUUAUAUACUACUACUACUAUUAUUAUUAUUUUUGCACAGCGGUUGUUUGUCCUUGUGUGGUUUUUUUUAUUGGUUCUGUGGUGGUUCUUAGUAUCUACUACGAAUGUCUGCAAGAAACUGAAUCUGAAGGUUCUACUGUAUAUGGCAGCGUAAAUGUACUUGGAUAAUAAUUUGAACUUUGAUUUUGUGUGUGUUUCCAACAUCUGCAGAAUCUCUUGUUUUGGCAACAAUCAUGACAUUGUUAUUGAUGUUAUUUUGUUUCUUUUUAACUAUUUACUAUUUUUCAGGAUUCCUGUAUUAAUAUUAAACAGAACUGAAAUUCGGAAAUAGUGUUCACUGUUAACAAUUAAUGUCGUUUUGAAAAAUCCCUGGCUACAUUUGGUGCAGUAAUAGGGUGGACACAAAGUAGAGCAUACUAGAUGCAAAUUUAGCUCUGCAUCAAUGGAGUGACUACUUUCCUUACGUAAACCUUGGUAAUUGCAAAAGCAUUCUAAUCUGAAUUUAAGGGUUGCAUUGACGAGUCAUCAUUGGGCUGUUUCGUGCAGUUGGUGUGUAAUGAUGUCUGCCUCAGAGAUCAGCUGUUGUGAUGUCAUUGUUAAAAACUCAUGCAUCUGAUUGGCUGUGAUAAAAUCCAGGACAAAUCAGAAAUGAUGCUCUUCCAAGAUGAAAGUUUGUAUAAAUGAAGUUUAACAGCAAAAAGAGUGAAAGUUUGGGAAGAUUUUUUAAGAAAUGUAUUCAGCAUCACUUUUUUUGAAUGCAUAUGUAAAACAUUAUUUUGUUUAUCAUGGCCAAAUAAAUAUU
Hypanus sabinus (Atlantic stingray) is the source of this 3373-nucleotide long non-coding RNA. RefSeq lists it as uncharacterized. The record is from RefSeq and is a predicted model, not a curated record. The transcript is spliced from 5 exons. Lineage: Eukaryota; Metazoa; Chordata; Chondrichthyes; Myliobatiformes; Dasyatidae.